Molecule: ribosomal RNA, 1346 nt
Filed under: uncultured bacterium
Lineage: Bacteria
Description: bacterial SSU rRNA
Rfam family: Bacterial small subunit ribosomal RNA
Source: RNAcentral
GACGAACGCUGGCGGCGUGCUUAACACAUGCAAGUCGAACGGAAAGGCCCUGCUUUUGUGGGGUGCUCGAGUGGCGAACGGGUGAGUAACACGUGAGUAACCUGCCCUUGACUUUGGGAUAACUUCAGGAAACUGGGGCUAAUACCGGAUAGGAGCUCCUGCUGCAUGGUGGGGGUUGGAAAGUUUCGGCGGUUGGGGAUGGACUCGCGGCUUAUCAGCUUGUUGGUGGGGUAGUGGCUUACCAAGGCUUUGACGGGUAGCCGGCCUGAGAGGGUGACCGGCCACAUUGGGACUGAGAUACGGCCCAGACUCCUACGGGAGGCAGCAGUGGGGAAUAUUGCACAAUGGGCGGAAGCCUGAUGCAGCAACGCCGCGUGCGGGAUGACGGCCUUCGGGUUGUAAACCGCUUUCGCCUGUGACGAAGCGUGAGUGACGGUAAUGGGUAAAGAAGCACCGGCUAACUACGUGCCAGCAGCCGCGGUGAUACGUAGGGUGCGAGCGUUGUCCGGAUUUAUUGGGCGUAAAGGGCUCGUAGGUGGUUGAUCGCGUCGGAAGUGUAAUCUUGGGGCUUAACCCUGAGCGUGCUUUCGAUACGGGUUGACUUGAGGAAGGUAGGGGAGAAUGGAAUUCCUGGUGGAGCGGUGGAAUGCGCAGAUAUCAGGAGGAACACCAGUGGCGAAGGCGGUUCUCUGGGCCUUUCCUGACGCUGAGGAGCGAAAGCGUGGGGAGCGAACAGGCUUAGAUACCCUGGUAGUCCACGCUGUAAACGGUGGGUACUAGGUGUGGGGUCCAUUCCACGGGUUCCGUGCCGUAGCUAACGCUUUAAGUACCCCGCCUGGGGAGUACGGCCGCAAGGCUAAAACUCAAAGGAAUUGACGGGGCCCCGCACAAGCGGCGGAGCAUGCGGAUUAAUUCGAUGCAACGCGUAGAACCUUACCUGGGUUUGACAUGGAUCGGGAGCGCUCAGAGAUGGGUGUGCCUCUUUUGGGGUCGGUUCACAGGUGGUGCAUGGCUGUCGUCAGCUCGCGUCGUGAGAUGUUGGGUUAAGUCCCGCAACGAGCGCAACCCUUGUUCACUGUUGCCAGCACGUUAUGGUGGGGACUCAGUGGAGACCGCCGGGGUCAACUCGGAGGAAGGUGGGGAUGACGUCAAGUCAUCAUGCCCCUUAUGUCCAGGGCUUCACGCAUGCUACAAUGGCUGGUACAGAGAGUGGCGAGCCUGUGAGGGUGAGCGAAUCUCGGAAAGCCGGUCUCAGUCCGGAUUGGGGUCUGCAACUCGACCUCAUGAAGUCGGAGUCGCUAGUAAUCGCAGAUCAGCAACGCUGCGGUGAAUACGUUCCCGGGGCU